UACAGAGGUCCCAAGCGUUGUUCGGAUUCACUGGGCGUAAAGGGUGCGUAGGUGGCGGGGUAAGUCGGAUGUGAAAUCUCCGAGCUCAACUCGGAAAUGGCAUUGGAAACUACCUUGCUCGAGGGUUGGAGGGGGGACUGGAAUGCUUGGUGUAGCAGUGAAAUGCGUAGAUAUCAAGCGGAACACCAGUGGCGAAGGCGAGUCCCUGGACAACUCCUGACACUGAGGCACGAAAGCUAGGGGAGCAAACGGG
Molecule: ribosomal RNA, 253 nt
Filed under: uncultured bacterium
Lineage: Bacteria
Description: partial 16S ribosomal RNA
Rfam family: Bacterial small subunit ribosomal RNA
Source: RNAcentral